This 279-nucleotide ribosomal RNA is filed under the name uncultured bacterium. Its description in RNAcentral is "partial 16S ribosomal RNA". It matches the Rfam family "Bacterial small subunit ribosomal RNA", at positions 506 to 784 of the family's 1533-position model. The record is from RNAcentral.
UGCCAGCCGCCGCGGUAACACGAACUGCGCGAACGUUAUUCGGAAUCACUGGGCGUAAAGCGCACGCAGGCGGAUUAGUAAGUUAGGGGUGAAAUCCCGGGGCUCAACCCCGGAACUGCCUCUAAUACUGCUAGUCUUGAGUUCGAGAGAGGUGAGUGGAAUUCCGAGUGUAGAGGUGAAAUUCGUAGAUAUUCGGAGGAACACCAGUGGCGAAGGCGGCUCACUGGCUCGAUACUGACGCUGAGGUGCGCAAGCGUGGGGCGCAAACAGGAUUAGAUA